This is a non-coding RNA of Pelobates cultripes (western spadefoot toad), 386 nucleotides long. The record is from the annotation of a GenBank genome assembly. NCBI's taxonomy places the organism in Eukaryota, Metazoa, Chordata, Amphibia, Anura, Pelobatidae.
CAAUCCUAGAAAUUACGAUCAAAGUCGUUGCCACAAAGACUGAGGCAACGCUUUGAACUGACAGCAAAUUUAAGUUAUGGUAGUUAUUUUAGAUAAGCCAAAUUAUGUCAAAAUCGUCAUCAAAAUAAGUUAACUCUUUCGAGGACACAAAAGUUUGAUGAGGCAAUUGCGCCCUCUAUUGACCAAAAACUAGAUAAUACUAGAUAACGUAGACACACCUACAGUUUCCUAUUGGCCUUAUCAACUAAUGACGUACAGAGAAUCUUUCCCUUUAAAAGUUAGGACAAAGGGAAGAGAGUGGGUAGUUUGGGCUUUCGGAUUCGGACAUUCAGACAGAUAUUCAGGACACUCUGGGACUAACACUAAACUCUCAAACUCUCUUGGAC